AGUUAAUGAACUUGUAUAAGUAUAUAUUUUGAAAAUAUAAAAAAGGAAAUAAAUCCUAUUAACUU
RNAcentral lists this transfer RNA (65 nucleotides) under Sphaeroderma testaceum. RNAcentral describes it as "tRNA-Ser". Lineage: Eukaryota; Metazoa; Arthropoda; Insecta; Coleoptera; Chrysomelidae. The record is from RNAcentral.